Long non-coding RNA from Mastomys coucha (southern multimammate mouse), 642 nucleotides. RefSeq lists it as uncharacterized. Lineage: Eukaryota; Metazoa; Chordata; Mammalia; Rodentia; Muridae. The record is from RefSeq and is a predicted model, not a curated record. The transcript is spliced from 2 exons.
AGGCUCUUCUGUUACCAUGGCAGCCUUGGAUGACGGGCUGCCAGCUGGUCAAGUAGCCCUGUGGCAGCCUGGAUGUUUGAGAACUCUCUUAGUCUGAGGACACCCCAGAGGACUGUUACAGCCACAGUGGAAGGCACACUCCCAUUAUGAGCACUAGCCUUUAUGACCAUUAUGACUGUUUGCCCUCGGUUAUCCUCAUGUACACCAGAGGGGGCACACUUCCCCUGAAGGCCCAGAAGGUGGCCUUGGGCAUACCCACCCCAUGGCUACAUAACCAGGCAAUUCAGUUCACAGUCCUUGUCCCGAGAGGCAGCCUCUUGCACUGAAAAACAAUGCCCAUAAACAGCCUCUCCCAAGUGGUCUGUCCUUGUCCUGGCAGGAAAUAGGGACCCCAGAGCCACGAAAUGACAGGACAACCGCCUGUGAAAAUAUAUGAUGAUGAAUCUUUUCUGUCAACCUGCCUGGAUUUGGAGUCACCUAGGAGACAUAGCCCUAUGAGUCUAUGGGUACAAUGUGACCAGCUGACCCACACUCCUGCUGUGAUGGACCAUGUCCUGGAUCUACAAACAAAAUCAGCAACCCUUCCUUCCCUCGGGUUCCUCUGCGGGCAUUUCGUCACUGUCAUAAUAAAAGUAAUCAAUA